AUCUAUAAGGAACUCAAACAAAUUUACAAGAGAAAAACAACCCCAUUAAGAAGUGGGCAAAGUACGGUCUUUGGGGAACAUGGAUGCUUAUUGCCUCUGCCUUCCUUGGCUGCCUACAUGG
Molecule: small nucleolar RNA, 121 nt
Filed under: Theropithecus gelada (gelada)
Lineage: Eukaryota; Metazoa; Chordata; Mammalia; Primates; Cercopithecidae
Description: Small nucleolar RNA SNORA67 (ENSTGEG00000013887.1)
Source: RNAcentral